GCUGGUUGCAGGGGUAUGCAACUGUAGUCCCAGCUGCUUGGGAGGCUGAGGCAGGAAGAUCACUUGAGCCCAGGAAUUCAGGGCCAAUCUGGCCAAUAUAGCAAGACCCCCAUCUG
This 116-nucleotide small RNA is filed under the name Marmota monax (woodchuck). Lineage: Eukaryota; Metazoa; Chordata; Mammalia; Rodentia; Sciuridae. The record is from RNAcentral.